Molecule: ribosomal RNA, 224 nt
Filed under: uncultured bacterium
Lineage: Bacteria
Description: partial 16S ribosomal RNA
Rfam family: Bacterial small subunit ribosomal RNA
Source: RNAcentral
CGUAACACGUAUACAAUCUGCCUCCAACAUGGGGAUAGCCCGGAGAAAUUCGGAUUAAUACCCAGUAACAAAUUUAAUGGCAUCAUUAGAUUUUGAAAGCUACGGCGGUUGGAGAUGAGUAUGCGUCUGAUUAGUUAGUUGGUGAGGUAACGGCUCACCAAGACCACGAUCAGUAGGGGAUCUGAGAGGACUACCCCCCACACUGGUACUGAGACACGGACCAG